CUGAUCUUUGGGAUGGGUAAGCAAAUCUUUCUUUAUUUAGAUUGUGACUAUUGCUUUUUGGAGGGAAGUUUAGAACUGGUAAUCUGAUAUUGCCUUUCCCUAUGCCUUUCCUUGCCACUUUGUGCCAACUGUCCUUUCAUUGAAAAUGAUGGAAUUGCUCAAAGCCAGAGCUGUAGAACAGAAUGAAAUGACUCUACUGAGGAAAAGGGGCUUAUUAUUGUGCAUUCCUGGUGCUGUCAGCCAACUCUAUGAGUAAAUAUUGUUUUACAAAUAAAAGCCUGCAGCUAUUGCUGGCUUUUGCCUGAGGUGAGCUUUCUGCAUAAAUCACGAUGGCAUGCAAUUUUCUUGGUAAUACACUAACAGGAAGGUUUAAAACAUUUGAGAGAUUCAAACUGAACUGUGAGUUCUGUCAAAAACACCAAAACCUGUAACAAGACCAGAAUGGUACCAGAUCCCCCUGCUGGAGUCCUUCCCUCUGCAGCUUCCAGGGUCACCACGUGUUUGAAGAGGAAGGCCAUGUGAGAAGACAAGCACAUGUCUCUUUCAUCUCAUUUGGCAGUUAAGAGAUCUGUGGGGAGUUGGUUGUCAGGGAAAAAGUGCCCGUUUUUCCCUUUAUUUUCCUUUGUAAAGAAGCAACAUGACUACAUUCCUAGGAACCAUAUGCCAGAGCACUCCAGGAGAUGGGGCUGCUGAAAGCAGUGGUAUGCAUUGCUUCCAAACAACUGGUGAAGCAAAUAUCUUGAAGAAAGUCAGCCUUGCCUCUGGGAUCUGAGUCAUUCAGAUUGGGAAGAUCCAGGGACGAUGACUGUUCCACCUGCACAAAGAUGAGAACACACAUGGUCACAGCAUUUCAAACAUCCCUCCAACAUGAGAAGCAAGGGAAUAAGAUGCAAUGUAAGCAGAAGAAAGGCAGUCAGGCUGUACUUUGAUAUACAUUUAAACUGGCACUGUUAUCAGAGCUCCAGCAUCCUUUGUCCCAGUUUCACUCUCUUGCACGCAUCCACCUCCACAGUUCAUUUGCUGUGCAUAGGCACAAUGGGGAUGUAUCUUCUGAACAGGACACUGUGGGAUGUGAGAGCAACUCUGGCCACAUUAAUUCAGCUACCCAACUUUUUAGACAUAUUUCCACAGAAUGAAAUAUCCAAUCUCCAUCCUGGAUUGCAGUGCUUUAUGAAGGCACAAACAGACCGAUGGGAAAUGCAGCUCUCAGGCAGGAUUCGUGUAAGGUUUAUUUCAAUGUAGCAGAGGUUUAAGUCCUUUCAACCCCUGCUGUCACAAAAGAGCUUGGAAUCCCACCUCCUAAAGCUUCUUGGAAUGCCCUGCUUUUCAGACCUAGCAGCUCUAACAUCUAGCUGUGAAUUGGAUGCUUACCGAACAAGAGGUGUAUCAAGCAGAAAUGAAAAUGUGCUGCAGCGCACAGCCUGAUGGGCACUGUGCAAGGACCUCACGUUGCCUCCUGCUCAGCAAGGCAUGUCUCUGCUCUGCUUAGACCGAGGCAGAGAUUUCCAAGUUCAGCUUCAAGAAGAAAGGCCAACCCCUGGGCCAGAUCAGCCUUCAUGCAAGCCCUACGACAAGGACAUGCCAGGGAAAACCUUCAUGUCCUGCAGCAUCCGUGGGCUCAACCUGCUUUGGAAUAAUAGAGCACAUCUUUUGCCGUUUGUUCACGGCAGCAAAGCCUCCUGAAGGGCUAUUCAGUGACUGACAUCAAUGGAAGCAGGGAUAAAUAACCGCAAAGUGCUGCUUUGUUUUCUGCUGUUGGAAGAACUCGAUGAGGGAGCGUUCUGUGUCCGUUUAACCUAAAUGAUGCGGAGCUGACUGUGCUAGCCUGCAGAGCCGUGUUUGUUUAUCCAGCAACACUAAGCACAAGCGCUUGGCAGGCUGUGCUCCAGCUAUUCCGGGAAGUUUUUUCUUAGAGAGUCCCACUGUCCUUUCAAUGUUCUCUAAUGCAAUGUUCACGGCGUUUCUCCAGUGAAGGUUACUGCAAAUCACCCAGCGUGGAAAAUGAGGAGGAAGGGGUACUGAUCUACUUCAAAUACUUCUAACUGCUUUGUAUUUGCUAGUGCCAGCAUCUCCCAUGGACUCAGGCAGGCAGAUGACUAUGGGGAGAUGUUUACUGGAGAGUCUCCAGCACAGAAGCUUGUUACCACUGCCUGGACCACGUCUGUGCUUUGGAGGCCGGGACAUCCCAGCUCCCUGCCUGCUCCCAGACCCCAUUUCCGAGGGAUGUAGAUGCCCUCAAUCACAGUGCCCUCUCUGGGAGCUGUGCUCAGUGCAGGGCUGGGUAGGAUAAGAGAAGAGCGUGUGUGGGAAUGGGUGGAUGUCCUUAAGUCAGCAGAGCUAAUGGAUUCCAUCCCGAAGCGCUUGGGAACACAGCCAGGGAAAAUUCUAAAGCAUUAGUGAUUAUCUCUGAGAAGUGACGGUGGCAGGCCCCGAGAGACAUGAGAAACAAACACUGCCCAGCUUUAAAAAGGAGAAAAGAGGCCCUGGGAGUUAUCCGCCAGCCUGCCUAACUCUAUUUCUUGGAAAGAUACUGGAACAAAUCAUUAAAUAAUCAGUAUAAACACCUAGAAGAUAAUAAAAUGACAAAAAGAGCCAGCAUGGAUUUCUUAAGAAUAAAUCACAUCAAAUCAAUCUCAUUUUCUCUUCUGGCAGAACAGCAGCCCUGCUGAAUGAGGGAGAAGCGGAUGUGAUAUAUCCUGAGUGUAAGAAGUGUGUGCUCAGUAUUACAUGACAGCCUUGUGAGCAAAUUAGGGGCAUGUGAGCAAAAUGGAAACAAACAAAAUCACCACGAUUUGGGUGCGUAAGCACGAGGGAAAAUGCUUCCCAAAGAGGCUGUUUGGAGUGCAAGCACACGAGCCUGGUUUGCUCAUCAUGUUCAUUAAUAACUGAUUUGUAUGAUAGCAAAGAUAAUACAGUCU
Molecule: non-coding RNA, 2918 nt
Organism: Meleagris gallopavo (turkey)
Lineage: Eukaryota; Metazoa; Chordata; Aves; Galliformes; Phasianidae
Source: RefSeq, a predicted model, not a curated record